Molecule: transfer RNA, 73 nt
Filed under: Desmophyllum pertusum
Lineage: Eukaryota; Metazoa; Cnidaria; Anthozoa; Scleractinia; Caryophylliidae
Description: tRNA-Arg
Source: RNAcentral
GGCGCGGUGGCCUAAUUGUUAGCGCGUUGGCCUCCGGAUCGAGUGGUCCAGGUUCGAGCGCUGGCCUGGGCCA